This 500-nucleotide ribosomal RNA is filed under the name uncultured bacterium. RNAcentral's name for it is "partial 16S ribosomal RNA". It matches the Rfam family "Bacterial small subunit ribosomal RNA", at positions 28 to 508 of the family's 1533-position model. The record is from RNAcentral.
GACGAACGCUGGCGGCGUGCCUAAUACAUGCAAGUCGAGCGAAGUUUUUCUGGUGCUUGCACCGGAAAAACUUAGCGGCGAACGGGUGAGUAACACGUAAAGAACCUGCCUCAUAGACUGGGACAACUAUUGGAAACGAUAGCUAAUACCGGAUAAUAGCAUUAACUGCAUGGUUGAUGUUUAAAAGUUGGUUUUGCUAACACUAUGAGAUGGCUUUGCGGUGCAUUAGCUAGUUGGUGGGGUAAAGGCCUACCAAGGCGACGAUGCAUAGCCGACCUGAGAGGGUGAUCGGCCACACUGGGACUGAGACACGGCCCAGACUCCUACGGGAGGCAGCAGUAGGGAAUCUUCCGCAAUGGGCGAAAGCCUGACGGAGCAACGCCGCGUGAGUGAAGAAGGAUUUCGGUUCGUAAAGCUCUGUUGUUAGGGAAGAAUGAUUGUGUAGUAACUAUACACAGUAGAGACGGUACCUAACCAGAAAGCCACGGCUAACUACGUGC